This 253-nucleotide ribosomal RNA is filed under the name uncultured bacterium. Its description in RNAcentral is "partial 16S ribosomal RNA". It matches the Rfam family "Bacterial small subunit ribosomal RNA", at positions 524 to 776 of the family's 1533-position model. The record is from RNAcentral.
UACAUAGGGUGCAAGCGUUGUCCGGAAUUAUUGGGCGUAAAGAGCGUGUAGGCGGCCCGAUUAGUCCGCUGUGAAAGUCCAGGGCUCAACCCUGGAAUGCCGGUGGAUACUGUCGGGCUAGAGUCCGGAAGGGGCGAGUGGAAUUCCUGGUGUAGCGGUGAAAUGCGCAGAUAUCAGGAGGAACACCAAUGGCGAAGGCAGCUCGCUGGGACGUGACUGACGCUGAGACGCGAAAGCGUGGGGAGCAAACAGG